Brassica napus (rape) is the source of this 3378-nucleotide long non-coding RNA. RefSeq lists it as uncharacterized. Lineage: Eukaryota; Viridiplantae; Streptophyta; Magnoliopsida; Brassicales; Brassicaceae. The transcript is spliced from 5 exons. The record is from RefSeq and is a predicted model, not a curated record.
UAUAAGAUGAAUUUAGCCCACAAUUUUGGUGAUUCCAUUUAGUUAAGAACUGAUUACUCCAUACACAGCUCGGCGUUUGGACAUUUUGAGCACCAAUAUAGUGGAUUUUUUUUUAAAAAAUGAUGCGUUUAGCCUUGUCUUCUGAGUCAAACUAAAUUAAUCAACUCAAAUGCUAAGUGCAAAGCAUUGUCUUUAAAAGCAAUUGGUUAACGAGUUUUCAUAAAAGUAAAUUAAUAGACAUCCAUAUUUGGCGUCUAACUUCGAUGCUAUCCGACUUUGUCGAGUUUCUACGGUCGAGUCAUAUUUUAUACAUUUUUUACGUCAAGUCAUUGAUGGUCAAUAUAAUAUUAAUAGUGUUCACAUGGCGUAAGAAUUACUGAGGUGUUUGUUGAGUUUCUACAUGAAGGAUUAACUAUACGCAUUUACGUACGAUUGCAGGGAUUGAAAAGUAGACGAUUACAAUUGAUCCACAGCGAGAAACAAAAUAGUUUAAAGCAUUAAAAACAACCAGAGGUCCAAUCUUACUUUGAUUUACCUGCCAGGAAUUUGUUGGAAAGGUAAGAAGGCAAAUCAAUCAAGUCACAAAAAAAAAUUGGUUUUAAUUCUUUUGACAUGCACAUGAUAAAUGGCUUUCAUUAGGAUAUACCUUCUGAAGCCGUUGAGUAUGUCUAUUAUAUAUAUAAAGAUGUCUAAUGAGUUAGGUUUGCAAUUUUGCGAUUAAAAAUGGAAGAAAACGUGUGCUUAAGUGAACAAUUUGACUAACACAUUGAUAUAGUCAUAUAGACGCACGUACAAAUAACCGCAUAAAAACAAGUUUCUACAAGGUACAUCAGAUGUUAUAAACAAUAAAGCCAAUUGACGAUAAAAUAUACUACAGAGUACACAAAAUGUUGCAAAAGCCAACUUUAGAAUAUCAUCCGCUUCAUGCAUAUUUACAUUACACUAUACAUACAUGAUACUCGUAUUACAUGCAUGUAUGAUGUCAUUUCAUUUUCGUCAUUGGACUCUUGUGUUAAAAAAGACUAGAGACAUAUAUAAGCUGUCAUAUGUAAUUUUAAGUAGGAUGUCGUAACUACUUCCACUACUAACCUCUGACAUUAGGAAAUUAAUACGAAUCCAUUUUAACUAGUUAUUUUUAUCAAUGUUACAAUACUAAGAAGAUGUUGGAGGAUGUAGAAAGAAGACAACCGUUGGCUAAUCUUACAAUACUAAAAAGACUUGAGGGUCAUCAGCUAGCUAUGCCAGACAAAAAAUUCAUGGCCAAUUAAAUUGACAUCUCAGCUUUAAAAUCCAUGUCAUCCAACGAAAAGAAAAAAACCUACAAUUCAAUCGGCGAUUAUGAAUCGUUUCUUCACCCUCUUUCAUCAAUUCAGCCAUUAUAACUCCUUCAAAACAUACAAACCGACGAUAUGAAUCCACUCUCUUAUUCUAUAUAAGCCAAUGUCGAUCCAAGUCCACAAGUCCAAACUCACAGGUUCCGUUUCUUUAGUGUAUAUGUUUUCUGUAUUUGUACACAGGUUCAGUAUGUUAAUUAAUCAUCACAUCGAAAGAGGAUCUCAGUGUAAGUAACAUUUAACAUCGCAUGCUUUGGAUACUAAAACUUGACGAGGCGUUCGUUCGUUGAUGCGGUUAAUCAGCUCGGUAGAUGUGAACUUCGUCUAGCUGAUGGAACUCGAGAUAGCGAUGGUAAAGGAGAAUAAAACUCAAAGACUGUUGGUCCUCGGAUGGAUAUGUUCCCAUAUGUGUCUUAGGACGAAAGAUGGAUCUCUAUUCAAGGAGAUCCUGGAUAACUGGUCUAGGUUGGAAGAUAUUCAGUCAUAACGGUCUCUGGAUCGCUUCUUUGUGUUUCAUGGUGAGCAGAUUCCAAUUCUGUCAUACAUGUAUCUGAGAGUGAAGGAGAUAUGAGCAGAACUGGACAGAGAAAGGUCUCUGACAAACAAAAAGGAGAUAUGUCUAACGGGGAGUGUAGACCAUCACUAGAUGGAGAUUAGACCCCGAAUGGUCAAUUUGCAACUCAGAGUGGUGACCAAGACUGUUCUGGUAAGACAGUUUGGAUUAAAAAAAAUGUAUGCAAAGAUGGAAGAUCGUAAGAGACGUACAAAAGAAUUUCUUUUGAACUUCCAUAAGUCUCAUUUCUUUGUCAUGAAUGCAAAGUCUGGUGAGCUACGUUGGUCAAAGAAAUGCUCUCUGGCCGCAUGUACAAAUUUAGAUGAAAACAAGAUUAUUUGGAAAAAAAGAGGAGGCUUUGAUCCUUACAUUGAUUUCAGUUGUGCAAACAUUGCUUCUAAGUUCACUGCGAAAAGCACAAGGCAGUGUAGAAGAAGAUGGUGUACAUAUACCUUACGACUAUGAUCUUCUGAAGAAGAUGCACUUCUGUGUGAGGUUAGAUAUUUUUAAUCACAUACGUUUAUAGAGUUGGCACCCGAAGAAGAUGCAUGCUACACCAGUUUUUUAAGUUCGGCUUUCAUUGAGAUUUGAUUAUCUUUUUUCCUAGAUGCAUCAUGUUUGUUGUUGUAUUGACAUCAUCUUGAUAGAUGUCUUAGCUUAGAAACACUGAUCUGAGAAGUCUAUUAUAGAUGGCUCGACCAAUAAAGAUUAAAUUUGUGUAAGUAAGAAAAUAUCAGUCCACACCGGAAAUGUAAAGAUGCUAGAGUCCAAGGUAUCUGUACAAUCUAAUGUCUAAUAUUAUAAUUAAAUUAAUUUCUUCUGAUUUGCUUAUACAGUUAUCAUCCCUAUAAAUGUUCAUAUUGAGCUGUUGCAAAUAUGAAUAUUUUCAGUUGAUUUUUUUGUUCUGAUGGCUUAAACGAUCAUCUCCAACAAUCCCGUUGUCAUUCAUGUCCUUUCACGUUCUCUUUUCUGUUUUGAAAUUAGUCCUGCAAAUUCAAGGUAAUAUCAGUAGUGGUAUAGCUUUGAAUAAUCUUUGGAAAGCAUGUUCUCUUAUACUGUGUUGCAAUUCUUAAUCUACAUUGAUUCAUUAGCUUCUUAUAAAGUUGCUUGGUACUGUUAUGGAAAAAAAAAUUGAUUUUAGAAAUUUCAAAUCUAGCAAAGUAGCGGAAAGAAUAUGAUUGGGACCCUGUUUCUUAAUACUCCAAGAGAAUCCUGGUGUUCAGAUCACAGGCUGGUUUGUGAAAUAUUUGCAGUAGAAUUUGAUGCAAAGAGUAUGAACAAAGGUAAAUUCAGGAAGGGUAUUCUUGCGCAGCUGCAGGAUUUGUUGAAGAUUGCCUCCACAAAAGCAUAGUUUUAACUACGAUUAUUACAGUUCUUUUUGAGAACGAAAUAUAUGAUUUGGAAAAGUAAUUUUUUUUCUUCAUUGUAUAGCUAUAUGUUUUUUUGGCAUCAGCCAUCAUGAUACAUAUAUAUAUAGAUACUUUAAUGUUA